AAUUGCGAUUAAGCAGGUUGACUAUUUAUUUACAAGACAAACAGUGAAACACUCAACCAAACAUCUAAGUCAAACAAGUACUUAUCAAAGCCCUCUAAAUUACAAAACUACACUAAACAAUUAAUAACCCUUCAAGCUAAACUCAGUUACAGAUACUUAUCCAAAUGGAGUGCCUGAAGUGGCAGGACCAAACAGACACUGAACAUACGGAUGUGGCAAAUAAUUAACUAAAGUGUGCACACGGGCCAUUAAUGCAGCACAACACCCACUGACCCCACAGUACCUAUCGUCUGCCUGGCCCGCAGUGAACUGAGAGGAAAAGAGACUGUAAGGUUAUCAAAUGCUAGAAUUAAACCCUACCGGUGCCCUAACAUCAUCAGCUAAACGGAAGUUUAUGGGAGGAGCAGCAAAGCUCCUUACACGGCUAGUCCCCACCUCGAUCAGCAGGUCAAAGAUUCUUCCUCAGACCAGUGCAGGAGACCAAAGAAGCUUGUUAACCGCAAGCUUUGAAGGCUGUGUCUGGAAGUUUCUGCAAACAACAAUGAGUAAUCAGCCAUCUGACAGAUACUGACCAAAAAGCAACAAUUACCCUUUACAACCAAUAUUAUGAAACCUAUAACUCAGUGCUUAAUAAGAAAAUGAAGUGUCGUUCUUCAAAUGUAUAGACACUACCUCAUAUCCUCUGUAUCGCCAGCAUUUUCUGUUGUACUUCAGGCUUCCCGCAUCUGCAGUAUUUUGCUUUUGUACAAUAGUCAAAUGAAAACAUUCAGUUUUGCAAGUGACAUGUUUUAAUAAGGAUACAGUUUUUUUGAAAUCAUUAUGAUCUGGCUAUUUGGUUCUCCAAAUAAUUGUAACAAUUACACUUGCUGGUUUAUCUUUUGUAUUCUCCUCAAAUUGAAAUAAAAAUCCUUUCCCGUG
Molecule: long non-coding RNA, 918 nt
Organism: Hypanus sabinus (Atlantic stingray)
Lineage: Eukaryota; Metazoa; Chordata; Chondrichthyes; Myliobatiformes; Dasyatidae
Exons: 4
Source: RefSeq, a predicted model, not a curated record